AUGGACGCAGCCGCAAGAGGAGGGCUCCACAUCGACGACGCCCGAGGAGAUGAUGACGACUACCACACAUCUGCCGCUUCCCGACGCUGUGGUCACGAAUGCGAGCUCCCCUCCGCCUCUCGGCCGGGUUCGACCCGAGCACAGGUGCAACAGCUAUCGGUAGAACUAGAUGGCAUCACAGGAGGUGUGUUCGACCAUUUACGGCAGCACACUACACAAGACCCCGUGCUGGCUAAGUCUCUUGCAGGUAGCACCUGUGCUCAAGCUUUGUUUAUUCAUUUUUUUCAGCUUAUCUCUUCAAUUGUCAUGCGAUUACCCAGGAAUGCACAACAAUUUUCAUGUGAUUCCCAUAUCAAUGCAAUUUUUUAUAGUUUUGCCAUGGAACUAAAGCAAUGUUGUGGUUUGCCAAGUAUAUUUACGAUAUGUUGCCAUGCCAACUAG
RNAcentral lists this ribosomal RNA (441 nucleotides) under Triticum aestivum (bread wheat). Its description in RNAcentral is "partial small subunit ribosomal RNA". The record is from RNAcentral. Lineage: Eukaryota; Viridiplantae; Streptophyta; Magnoliopsida; Poales; Poaceae.